AACGCUAGCUACAGGCUUAACACAUGCAAGUCGAGGGGCAGCAUGGUCUUAGCUUGCUAAGGCCGAUGGCGACCGGCGCACGGGUGAGUAACACGUAUCCAACCUGCCGUCUACUCUUGGCCAGCCUUCUGAAAGGAAGAUUAAUCCAGGAUGGGAUCAUGAGUUCACAUGUCCGCAUGAUUAAAGGUAUUUUCCGGUAGACGAUGGGGAUGCGUUCCAUUAGAUAGUAGGCGGGGUAACGGCCCACCUAGUCAACGAUGGAUAGGGGUUCUGAGAGGAAGGUCCCCCACAUUGGAACUGAGACACGGUCCAAACUCCUACGGGAGGCAGCAGUGAGGAAUAUUGGUCAAUGGGCGAUGGCCUGAACCAGCCAAGUAGCGUGAAGGAUGACUGCCCUAUGGGUUGUAAACUUCUUUUAUAAAGGAAUAAAGUCGGGUAUGCAUACCCGUUUGCAUGUACUUUAUGAAUAAGGAUCGGCUAACUCCGUGCCAGCAGCCGCGGUAAUACGGAGGAUCCGAGCGUUAUCCGGAUUUAUUGGGUUUAAAGGGAGCGUAGAUGGAUGUUUAAGUCAGUUGUGAAAGUUUGCGGCUCAACCGUAAAAUUGCAGUUGAUACUGGAUGUCUUGAGUGCAGUUGAGGCAGGCGGAAUUCGUGGUGUAGCGGUGAAAUGCUUAGAUAUCACGAAGAACUCCGAUUG
RNAcentral lists this ribosomal RNA (696 nucleotides) under uncultured bacterium. RNAcentral describes it as "bacterial SSU rRNA". It matches the Rfam family "Bacterial small subunit ribosomal RNA", at positions 32 to 715 of the family's 1533-position model. The record is from RNAcentral.